UUAUAAAAGAAGCUAUAGAAGACCAUUUGAAGUCUGUGAAGUUUUAAGGAAUAAUUGAAGCUGUGCUUCCCCGUUUUGUAGUCAUCCCCUUUCUUUACAUAGAGGCUUGCAAGGAAACGAAGCUCCAGCUCCAAAUUUACAGAAAAUACUUGUCCUCAGAGGCUUUUCCCUUGGGAGACCUCAGGAGUUCUUGUUACCAGUGCUUGCAGCAAAGAGAAGUCUUCAAGUUUCCUUGAACAAAGAAAUAAUGACAAUUUGAAAACAUCCAUUUUUCAAUUUCUAAACAGAAACUCUACACGAUAAGAAUGGAUUGUGCUUUCCUAUUUGACAGAAGUGGAAACAGGAGCUCGGAUGUAUUAAGAAAUACAGCCUGGAAAGCGCUUAAGUGCUGCUAGAAUACAUGGGACUUAGGAGCAGAAAUAUCACUUCAGAUUUGGCCCUCGUAUAUGACAAUGACAUCUUCACUGUUUUUGCCAAAAUAAUUACCUAGCUACCAAGAAGGAAAUCUGAUAUCUUAUGUAUGUUAAUGUUACCCACUGAGGUUCUCUGUAAAACUGUCCAAGCCAAAAUGUUUUCGGCUGUUUGUAAUUUUAUUACUGAUGGAGCCCAGGAAUGAGAAAGUACCAGGAGUCCCAGAUAUGGAGUUUACCCAUUUUUCCUUCUAACUCUCCAUCUUACUAACAUACACUCUCUUUCUUGAUUCAUAACUCAGUGCUACAACACACUGCUGGUGUUUUACAAUUUUCUUUACAUCCUGGACUAGCGGCAGGAAAGAAGCCUCAAGAGGAGGACAGCAGCCUCUCCUCACUUCAACUCUUCACAAAGAGGAAGAAUGAAUAGUUCUCCUAGUGGGAAAUGAAGCUCAGGAAGCUCUCCAAAGAGUCGAUUUGAACUAUUCAUGUGUUAUGCAGAGGUUCCUAUCAUGCCAAGGCAACUCGGUAUUGAAUGAAGAAGACUAGGAGUGAAUUAAUUUGGGGGAAAAAAAAUAAUGUUUCCAUUGCAUCUACUAGAUUCAAAGAGAAGGGCGUGAACCAGAGAGAGAGAAAAGAAAAAAGGUACUGAAAGAGAGUUGUUUUGCAAGAAAAUGAAGGUAUAAUAACCCCAAAUGAUAAUUGCCAUAGUCCUGUUGGGUAGUUGUAUUUUACAAGUUUAAGCUCAGAGACUGCACAGUAAAAUACCAUCUGGCUUUCUUAUAAAUCAACUCCCCUGUUUAUUACAAACACAACCUGACUUGGGAACCAGCAACGACAAUGAUGAAAGAAUUACCUCUGCUCCUCUGAGAAGCUUGGCAGCUUUCCCAUUGCUAAUGCUACCUCUUCGCAUCUUCUAACAGUUCAUCCCUUUUUGCUGCAAUCUUCAUUGUGGGUGCUGAAUACUCAGUGUCUGUAAUAUCUUUGCAAGCCUGACAUUGAGUAAUAGCUUUCUAAAAAUGCCUUGAAGGCCAUUUUAAAUGUGGCAAAAUGGUCUGUAACAAAAUAGGUAAAUGCAAAAACCUCAUGGGAUUUAUAUAAAAAGCCCCUGAAGAAGGGAAGGAAACUAAUUGCUGUCUAUGUUCAGCUAUUGUGUUAAAAUACCUUUUGCUUCAACACUUUUCAUGGAUACAAUAUUAAUACACUUUUUCCUGGGGAGAUGUAGCUUUUCUCACAAGAAUAUCUAUCACCUAGAGGAUAAGACAUUAUUCAGGUCAAGAAACACUCCAGAAAAGAGUGUCAGUGUCAGGUACUUUAUUAUUUUCCCAGAUAUUGCAGAGCCUCAUGGGAGAUCCUUCCAUGUGUCAAUCAUCUUUACAGACCCAGAUUCUGAUUGAGAGGUGUAAUCAAAUCUCUGGGAAAGGUCGUAAACAGCAAAAAAGAUCAAAGAAAAAAAUAUUUAAUGGUUGCAAAUACUUCUAUCUACAUAAACCUAACUAUAAUUUGUAUGUGUUAGAUUAUAUGUGGAAUUUUAUCCCACACUUAUAAGUGCUUAGGGUUGAUAGUGAUUUACACAAGAUGAAGGAAUACUCUCUUAAAUAACUGUUUUCUCAGUAACCAGCUUCCUGGGACUGUAAAGAAACAACUAAGAAAGAAUGCUUUGAGGAUUAAAAAACUAUUGUAUAGACAAUUGCCAAAGAUUUUAUCUUUAGAUAACUAUCUUUUUCUGUCUUCACUGGAACAGAAGAAAAGUUGAUUUGCUUCAAUGAGACAUCUGUUCUGUUUUGUUGUGACCAUUACACACAAUCUCUGCAUGCUGUCCAAAUGCUUUGUCAAGGUUAAGCAGGGAUAAGGAUGCCAUCGAAGUUCUUACCAUAGGUACAGAAUAGUAUAUUACCAACAUGUUAUGGCAAUGGAGCUGAGCAUGUAAUGAUGAAAUAGUGACUUGGGCACACCUUUGUAAGCAAAUAUAUCCAUGAUCCUGAUAUAUACUAUAAGCCACACAUUGUAGAAGUUGGAAUGACAUUAGCGGUGAAAACUAUGGUGACACUCAGGUGACCAUAGCAGAAAAAGCUUUCGUACGUGGAAAAUAGAGUAAGCAACAGUGAACAUUAAGAGAAUCAUCCAACACUAUAUCCUCUAUUAGCAUGAUCUUCGAAGCUGCCUGCAUGGGAACUGCUCAGUUACGUCCCACCUCUCCGGGGCUCCUAUGACUCUUGCUGGUCUUGGUCACCCACCAGCCACCGUGCAGUGCACAUCAGACAUGAAGUCCCAGCUGUCAGGAGUACCAUCACUGCCCACAGCUCACGCGUAUGGGCCAACCAUGAAUUAUCGCUGUAUUCUUGACACGGGGAAUGAAAGAAGACGUGAGUAUGGACCACUCUUACUACCACAGUGAGGAGUGCCUUAGAGAUGCUUUUAACAAAGAAAACAAGUACAGAAAGAAAACCUGGCAAUCAACCUGGCACUUUCACUCAAGUGAAACCAUCAUUUCAAUCAGCCACAUACUUACUCUCUUUUUUCCAAAGUAGAGACCGUGGUGUAGCUUGAGAUGUCCAGAUUUUAUUUCAUAAAUGUUCUACUUUAUGUUUCAUUUGGCUUACCUUUAUUAUUUUUACAGUCUACCAAAUGCAUCGCAGGGUUACAACAACCAUUUUCAAUGUCUUCUGUUUAUCCUUCAGGCAGU
Molecule: long non-coding RNA, 3096 nt
Organism: Aquila chrysaetos chrysaetos
Lineage: Eukaryota; Metazoa; Chordata; Aves; Accipitriformes; Accipitridae
Exons: 3
Source: RefSeq, a predicted model, not a curated record